AUUUUAGAAUUUGAUCAUGGUUUGAUCUAAUUACGAUUUAUUAUAAAUUCUAUGGGUUAAAUUAAUAUGCUAGCACAUGAAUUAGUCCAAGUUUCCAAUUAGGUUUAGUUCAAAGUUGUUUGAUCUAACCCUAUCCUGAUGCCUUGAAUCUAAUUGGAUUAGGUUUGAACCUUUGGACAUUAAAGUGGCUUGAUUAAUUAGUUUGAAAGAGUUUCAUCUUAAUCCAACCACCUCUUCACUUCUCCAUGCCAUUUAUUCCACACCAUUUAAUAUUGUCACCCAUAAUAAGUAGCGGCC
RNAcentral lists this long non-coding RNA (297 nucleotides) under Elaeis guineensis (African oil palm). RNAcentral's name for it is "long non-coding RNA (EGUI_LNC017454)". Lineage: Eukaryota; Viridiplantae; Streptophyta; Magnoliopsida; Arecales; Arecaceae. The record is from RNAcentral.